GAAUUUAUUUUAUUAACGAUACAUAAAGGAUUGAAUUUGUAUUUUAAAAUCUUCAUGACAGCUUCGUUUUUAACCAUGUUGAGAAGUACCCUUGCUCCUUAAGGACUACACCAGCGAGGUCCCUCAUCCACUUGAAGGACGUCGUCAUUGGUUCACUAAUGAAAACAUUGUGUAUGCCUAAAACCUCAAGAUAUGUUGGCAUCCAUCGAAGUACAGGUUUCAAAAAAAUGGGAAUUCCAUGAAAAUACAGACACCGGGCCCAUAUUACACAAUGAUAUGGUUUAAGCUGACAAAGAGGCAAGGACUAAUUAUCCUUUUUCCUAAUAACGUGACUCCUGCUUAGCCAGUUACAAUUUCAAGUAUGCUUAGCCAGUUACCAUCACACACCAAACAUUUAUCUUAAACAUCUCUACUAUCACUUUGUGCCAAUACUAUUUUACCUUCAAUUGCACUAUUCUUUCCAUUUGUUUCUUAAAGAACGUACGCUCCACACGCUGCCAACAAAUACUCAAAAAAUGAAUAUCAAUUAAUAAAUUACCAUAAUUUUAUGAAACUCUUCGUUUUUUUUUUGCUUUUGUUUGUUACGUAUGUUU
Long non-coding RNA from Zea mays, 593 nucleotides. RefSeq lists it as uncharacterized. The record is from RefSeq and is a predicted model, not a curated record. The transcript has 3 exons. NCBI's taxonomy places the organism in Eukaryota, Viridiplantae, Streptophyta, Magnoliopsida, Poales, Poaceae.